This 738-nucleotide transfer RNA is filed under the name uncultured Prochlorococcus sp. RNAcentral describes it as "partial 16S-23S ribosomal RNA intergenic spacer; may also contain 16S ribosomal RNA and 23S ribosomal RNA". The stretch from base 93 to 166 matches the Rfam family "tRNA". The record is from RNAcentral. Lineage: Bacteria; Bacillati; Cyanobacteriota; Cyanophyceae; Synechococcales; Prochlorococcaceae.
UUCAAAAGAACUUAACUAAUUAGUUUCUUGAAAUUAAGUCAAAUUCAGUUCCUAAACUUUGUCUAGGUCACACCUCUCAAAAGGGUACUCCUGGGCCAUUAGCUCAGGUGGUUAGAGCGCACCCCUGAUAAGGGUGAGGUCCCUGGUUCAAGUCCAGGAUGGCCCAUUCGGUGUUGGGGGUAUAGCUCAGUUGGUAGAGCGCCAGCUUUGCAAGCAGGAUGUCAGCGGUUCGAGUCCGCUUACCUCCACUGAUCGACCUCCUGAUAACGAAGCUAAAGGAGACUUUUAUGUGAUCUAGAAUUUGUUCUUAAAUGAAUGGAACCUAGCUUCUUGUCAAUAGAUCUAAUAACUUUUUAGUUUGAUUGAUAGGACGCUGGGCUCAUCCCUGCAAAAGAAAUUGCAGAGAAGUUCAGUAGAACCUUGACAACUGCAUAGGUGAGUCUGGAAAAAAAUAAAGCAUCUCAUGGAUGCAUUGUUUUUUGAAUCAAAUUUUUGUUUUUUUAUUAAUUAGGAAAACUAAAUUGUUUUAAAUGACGAUGUUUAAUUCUUGAGCAAGAGCCGAGACUCUAUAAUUCUCUUUUAUUGCAUUUUUAGCAAUAAGAGUUUGAUUCUUAAUUUUAUUCUUUAGGUGAAUUUUAUAGAUUAUCUAUAAAAUAAGUAGCCCAAUUAUUUAGCUUAAAAUUAAGAAAAAAGUGCUUAAAGCAUUAGCUUUAUAGAGAUUAAAUGGUCAAGCUACAA